GAUGAACGCUGGCGGCGUGCCUAAUACAUGCAAGUCGAGCGAACAGACGAGGAGCUUGCUCCUCUGACGUUAGCGGCGGACGGGUGAGUAACACGUGGAUAACCUACCUAUAAGACUGGGAUAACUUCGGGAAACCGGAGCUAAUACCGGAUAACAUGUUGAACCGCAUGGUUCAACAGUGAAAGACGGUCUUGCUGUCACUUAUAGAUGGAUCCGCGCCGCAUUAGCUAGUUGGUAAGGUAACGGCUUACCAAGGCAACGAUGCGUAGCCGACCUGAGAGGGUGAUCGGCCACACUGGAACGGAGACACGGUCCAGACUCCUACGGGAGGCAGCAGUAGGGAAUCUUCCGCAAUGGGCGAAAGCCUGACGGAGCAACGCCGCGUGAGUGAAGAAGGUCUUCGGAUCGUAAAACUCUGUUAUUAGGGAAGAACAAAUGUGUAAGUAACUAUGCACGUCUUGACGGUAACUAAUCAGAAAGCCACGGCUAACUACGUG
Molecule: ribosomal RNA, 497 nt
Filed under: uncultured bacterium
Lineage: Bacteria
Description: partial 16S ribosomal RNA
Rfam family: Bacterial small subunit ribosomal RNA
Source: RNAcentral